GCGCCCGUAGCUCAGUGGAUAGAGCGCUUGCCUCCGGAGUAAGAGGCCGCAGGUUCGAGUCCUGCCGGGCGUACCA
RNAcentral lists this transfer RNA (76 nucleotides) under Chloroflexota bacterium. RNAcentral describes it as "tRNA-Arg". It matches the Rfam family "tRNA". From Rfam's summary of the family: Transfer RNA (tRNA) molecules are approximately 80 nucleotides in length. Their secondary structure includes four short double-helical elements and three loops (D, anti-codon, and T loops). The record is from RNAcentral. Lineage: Bacteria; Bacillati; Chloroflexota.